AGACGGCAUAUUUCAAAUUGAGACUAUUCGAUCCACGGGCUGGUCAUCAAGAUGGAGCAGGGUAUAGAGAAGCCAUUAGGGAUGAUACAGAACAGCACCAAAGGAGCUCCUUCUGGGAUUCUCUAUUGGCUGAAUUCAGCCAGAAGCUGCCAAGGGAGACCCCCACAACUGGAUGCAGCCCACUGAAGUCAGCUUCCUGGGGUGCAUAGCUGAAGGUAGCAGGGAGCAAAAAGAAUCUGAAGGGGCAAGUGAACAAUGUAGAGCGUAUCUGUGCUGAAGACAUAAGGAGAGAGUGGAGGUCAGAAGCUGGCACGGUCCCUGGUGCACGUGUCAGCCGCUAAAGAAGUGGAGAGUAUGAACAUAAGCAAGAGGAAGUGAUGAGUAUCCCU
Molecule: long non-coding RNA, 389 nt
Filed under: Pan troglodytes (chimpanzee)
Lineage: Eukaryota; Metazoa; Chordata; Mammalia; Primates; Hominidae
Description: long non-coding RNA NONPTRT009571
Source: RNAcentral